CAGUAGCCGCGGUAAUGCGGAGGGUGCAAGCGUUAAUCGGAAUUACUGGGCGUAAGGCGUGCGUAGGCGGUUCGUUAAGUCUGUUGUGAAAGCCCCGGGCUCAACCUGGGAAUGGCAAUGGAUACUGGCGAGCUAGAGUGUGUCAGAGGAUGGUGGAAUUCCCGGUGUAGCGGUGAAAUGCGUAGAGAUCGGGAGGAACAUCAGUGGCGAAGGCGGCCAUCUGGGACAACACUGACGCUGAAGCACGAAAGCGUGGGGAGCAAACAGGAUUAGAGACCCGUGUAGUCCCUGUCUCUUAUAC
RNAcentral lists this ribosomal RNA (301 nucleotides) under uncultured bacterium. RNAcentral's name for it is "partial 16S ribosomal RNA". It matches the Rfam family "Bacterial small subunit ribosomal RNA", at positions 509 to 807 of the family's 1533-position model. The record is from RNAcentral.